CUACGUGCCAGCAGCCGCGGUAAUACGUAGGUGGCAAGCGUUGUCCGGAUUUAUUGGGCGUAAAGGGAACGCAGGCGGUCUUUUAAGUCUGAUGUGAAAGCCUUCGGCUUAACCGGAGUAGUGCAUUGGAAACUGGAAGACUUGAGUGCAGAAGAGGAGAGUGGAACUCCAUGUGUAGCGGUGAAAUGCGUAGAUAUAUGGAAGAACACCAGUGGCGAAAGCGGCUCUCUGGUCUGUAACUGACGCUGAGGUUCGAAAGCGUGGGUAGCAAACAGGAUUAGAUACCCUGGUAGUCCACGUCGUAAACGAUGAAUGCUAGGUGUUGGAGGGUUUCCGCCCUUCAGUGCCGCAGCUAACGCAAUAAGCAUUCCGCCUGGGGAGUACGACCGCAAGGUUGAAACUCAAAGGAAUUGACGGGGGCCCGCACAAGCGGCGGAGCAUGCGGAUUAAUUCGAUGCAACGCGAAGAACCUUACCAAGGCUUGACAU
This 488-nucleotide ribosomal RNA is filed under the name uncultured bacterium. Its description in RNAcentral is "bacterial SSU rRNA". It matches the Rfam family "Bacterial small subunit ribosomal RNA", at positions 501 to 987 of the family's 1533-position model. The record is from RNAcentral.